AUGCACGCUGGCGGCGUGCCUAAUACAUGCAAGUCGAGCGAACAGACGAGGAGCUUGCUCCUCUGACGUUAGCGGCGGGCGGGUGAGUAACACGUGGAUAACCUACCUAUAAGACUGGGAUAACUUCGGGAAACCGGAGCUAAUACCGGAUAAUAUAUUGAACCGCAUGGUUCAAUAGUGAAAGACGGUUUUGCUGUCACUUAUAGAUGGAUCCGCGCCGCAUUAGCUAGUUGGUAAGGUAACGGCUUACCAAGGCAACGAUGCGUAGCCGACCUGAGAGGGUGAUCGGCCACACUGGAACUGAGACACGGUCCAGACUCCUACGGGAGGCAGCAGUAGGGAAUCUUCCGCAAUGGGCGAAAGCUUGACGGAGCAACGCCGCGUGAGUGAUGAAGGUCUUCGGAUCGUAAAACUCUGUUAUUAGGGAAGAACAAAUGUGUAAGUAACUAUGCACGUCUUGACGGUACCUAAUCAGAAAGCCACGGCUAACUACGUG
This 496-nucleotide ribosomal RNA is filed under the name uncultured bacterium. RNAcentral's name for it is "partial 16S ribosomal RNA". It matches the Rfam family "Bacterial small subunit ribosomal RNA", at positions 29 to 507 of the family's 1533-position model. The record is from RNAcentral.